This 355-nucleotide long non-coding RNA is filed under the name Manihot esculenta (cassava). RNAcentral's name for it is "long non-coding RNA (MESC_LNC006801)". The record is from RNAcentral. Lineage: Eukaryota; Viridiplantae; Streptophyta; Magnoliopsida; Malpighiales; Euphorbiaceae.
AUGUAAACUGUGAAAAAAAAUGUAAGGGAUGCUGCAGAUCUUAGGCUAUGAAGAUUCUGCCACCUUUUGAAGCUUCUGCUGUUUCUGGGAAUUUUCUGCAGAAUUUUGAUGAAACAGAGGAAAGGAAAUGGAACAGAGGAAAAGAAAUUUAUUCAGAUUCCUUUUAAACCUUGACCGUGUAUCUCCCUUACAAUUUCAUUGCCUUAUUUAUACUAAAACUAAAAACUGAAAAAACAAGUUUUAAUCCGAGCAUCACGCCACGUUACGUAACUGUCGGAUUGAAUGAAGAUAAGUGCUGACUAAUUCAGAAAACUAAAACAUGCAGAAACAGAAACAGAUUCGGAAAUGUGCAACG